RNAcentral lists this ribosomal RNA (497 nucleotides) under uncultured bacterium. RNAcentral's name for it is "partial 16S ribosomal RNA". It matches the Rfam family "Bacterial small subunit ribosomal RNA", at positions 28 to 507 of the family's 1533-position model. The record is from RNAcentral.
GAUGAACGCUGGCGGCGUGCCUAAUACAUGCAAGUCGAGCGAACAGACGAGGAGCUUGCUCCUCUGAUGUUAGCGGCGGACGGGUGAGUAACACGUGGAUAACCUACCUAUAAGACUGGUAUAACUUCGGGAAACCGGAGCUAAUACCGGAUAACAUGUUGAACCGCAUGGUUCAACAGUGAAAGACGGUCUUGCUGUCACUUAUAGAUGGAUCCGCGCCGCAUUAGCUAGUUGGUAAGGUAACGGCUUACCAAGGCAACGAUGCGUAGCCGACCUGAGAGGGUGGUCGGCCACACUGGAGCUGAGACACGGUCCAGACUCCUACGGGAGGCAGCAGUCGGGAAUCUUCGGCAAUGGGCGAAAGCCUGACGGAGCAACGCCGCGUGAGUGAAGAAGGUCUUCGGAUCGUAAAGCUCUGUCAUUAGGGAAGAACAGAUGUGUAAGUAAAUAUGCACGUCUUGACGGUACCUAAUCAGAAAGCCACGGCUAACUACGUG